This 70-nucleotide transfer RNA is filed under the name Phylloscopus sindianus. Its description in RNAcentral is "tRNA-His". It matches the Rfam family "tRNA". Rfam says of the family: Transfer RNA (tRNA) molecules are approximately 80 nucleotides in length. Their secondary structure includes four short double-helical elements and three loops (D, anti-codon, and T loops). The record is from RNAcentral. Lineage: Eukaryota; Metazoa; Chordata; Aves; Passeriformes; Phylloscopidae.
GCAAGCAUAGUUUUAAUUCAAACAUUAGACUGUGAUCCUAAAGAUAGAAGUUAAAAUCUUCUUGCUUGCC